GCGGACGUGGUGGAAUGGUAGACACCGGAGACUUAAAAUCUCCUGGCCGUAUGGCCGUGCGGGUUCGAGUCCCGCCGUCCGCACCA
RNAcentral lists this transfer RNA (86 nucleotides) under Phaeobacter gallaeciensis. RNAcentral describes it as "tRNA-Leu". It matches the Rfam family "tRNA". From Rfam's summary of the family: Transfer RNA (tRNA) molecules are approximately 80 nucleotides in length. Lineage: Bacteria; Pseudomonadati; Pseudomonadota; Alphaproteobacteria; Rhodobacterales; Roseobacteraceae. The record is from RNAcentral. RNAcentral also lists the same sequence under 134 other names.